This 247-nucleotide ribosomal RNA is filed under the name uncultured bacterium. RNAcentral's name for it is "partial 16S ribosomal RNA". It matches the Rfam family "Bacterial small subunit ribosomal RNA", at positions 113 to 353 of the family's 1533-position model. The record is from RNAcentral.
ACACGUGAGCAACCUGCCUUUCAGUGGGGGGACGAACAUUUGGAAACGAAUGCUAAUACCGCAUAAGACCACAGUGUCGCAUGGCACAGGGGGUCAAAGGAUUUAUCCGCUGAAAGAUGGGCUCGCGUCCGAUUAGCUAGAUGGUGAGGUAACGGCCCACCAUGGCGACGAUCGGUAGCCGGACUGAGAGGUUGAUCGGCCACAUUGGGACUGAGACACGGCCCAGACUCCUACGGGAGGCAGCAUG